Molecule: long non-coding RNA, 570 nt
Filed under: Homo sapiens (human)
Lineage: Eukaryota; Metazoa; Chordata; Mammalia; Primates; Hominidae
Description: non-protein coding lnc-ZNF582-5:5
Source: RNAcentral
AAGGGGAGGUUCCCUGCUCAAGCUCUCUUCUCUUGUCUGCUGCCAUGUGAGACGUGCCUUUGACCUUCUGCCAUGAUUGUGAGGCCUCCCCAGCCACGUGAAACUAUGUUUUAGGUAGAAGUAGAAAGAGGAAAGUGUUAGAGUUUCUUCCAAAGAAUAUGGGAAGAUGUUCUGAUUGCGUCGUUUAGAACAUCCAGGGUCUAGAGUUGCAGUUUUUCUGGGUUAAGGCACUCAGAACAUUUUAUCUAUCAAAGCCACUUGGGACUGGUAGGUCCUGAUAGCAUAGAUGCAGGAUUCCUUAAUGCCCUUUGCAACUCCAUCCCUGUAAAUUCAACGAGCCUCCUUCUGGCUUGGAGAUGAAAGGAAGAUGAAUAAGAUGAUUCUUACUAGAUCUGGGAUCCCAAAGCUCUGGCUUUCGGAAAAGUGAAAUAUUAUUUGUUCCAGAGGGCACAUAACAUGUUCCUGGCACAUUGGAGGGCUAUUCCUCAUAAGCUGGAGCUCAGCGCUUGCCCUUAAAAUGCACUUCACCCAGCUCACCGUCUCAUGUAGGCCAAAGCUGGAAGAACCUUA